AGUGAACGCUGGCGGCAGGCCUAACACAUGCAAGUCGAGCGGCAGCGCGGGGGCAACCCUGGCGGCGAGCGGCGGACGGGUGAGGAAUUCGUCGGAAUCUGCCUUUUUGUGGGGGAUAACGUAGGGAAACUUACGCUAAUACCGCAUACGUCCUACGGGAGAAAGUGGGGGACCGCAAGGCCUCACGCAGAAAGAUGAGCCGACGACCGAUUAGCUAGUUGGUGGGGUAAAGGCCCACCAAGGCGACGAUCGGUAGCUGGUCUGAGAGGAUGAUCAGCCACACUGGGACUGAGACACGGCCCAGACUCCUACGGGAGGCAGCAGUGGGGAAUAUUGGACAAUGGGCGCAAGCCUGAUCCAGCCAUGCCGCGUGUGUGAAGAAGGCCUUCGGGUUGUAAAGCACGUUUGUCCGGAAAGAAAUCCCUGGAGCUAAUACCUUCGGGGGAUGACGGUACCGGAAGAAUAAGCACCGGCUAACUUCGUG
RNAcentral lists this ribosomal RNA (484 nucleotides) under uncultured bacterium. Its description in RNAcentral is "partial 16S ribosomal RNA". It matches the Rfam family "Bacterial small subunit ribosomal RNA", at positions 29 to 507 of the family's 1533-position model. The record is from RNAcentral.